AAUAAAGAACAUUCGAUUACGAUACGGGACCAGGUAACUUAGCGCAUAUCACUGGCUAGUGUUUGGGUGAAGUGUGGUGCUCUGUCACUGUUCAUUCACAACUACAGAAAUACAAAAGCCAUAAAUGUUUAUCAUUUCCACAGAAAAACUGAUGAUCAGAUACAUUAGGUCCUGAAAGAGCAAACUUAUGCUUCUUGAGCUGCCUGAUUCUCACACUUCAACAAAAUUAUGGUACUGAAAUACAUUUUAGCAAAUACAUUCCAAGUGGUAUUUUAAAAUAUCAUCAGAAAACAAUAGUAAUUAGCCAACAGGCAGUCACGAAAGUGAAAGCCAUUUGUGUAACAUUUGUCAACAUUACAAAAAUCACAAAAAACAAUUAGCAUCUGAGUAAUAACUUUCAUAUGAUUUUACUCUGUAAGAAAAAUGGAUAUUAGUCCCUCACACCAUCCAAUAACUGAGGCCACACCCAACAUGACCAAGAUGAACACGUUUCCCCCCAGAAACCAGUAAUUUUCAGCACUACAUUUCUUUGAUAGUAAUAGAUAUAAAUUAACCCUGUACCUGCUAGACCGUCCAGCUUUCUGAGAGCUGUUUACUCAUGUUUUACUUGUGGAAAGCCCCCGACUAAAGAGUCAGAAAACCUGCAUCCAAGUUGUGACCUGGCUAUUUACUGGCUGUGAACCCAUCAUGUCAACCUUCAGUAACAAUGUCCUCAUCUGUAAAGGGACAUAAUGCCACGUACGUCACAGAAAUGGUGAAGGGAAAGAACAAAAUGAUGUAUAUGCUAGUAGCCAAGACGACGGAGCAUACAGUAGGUAUCUAAUACAGCAAUCAUUUGUCAAAUGAAUAAGCAUCAGUCUUACUUUACAAAAUGUCUGCUUGAUAAACUAUGUAAAACAAAUUAUUCUUACUCUCCGCCAUGACUUUAAAACUCUGGAGAAGCUGGUUUUUAAAGGAAAUCUUAGCAUUAAAAGAGACUGGUAUACAUGCGAGUUAGAAAACCAUGGCCUUCUUUACUUGAAAAUUGAAGACGGUAUAUAGAUGAUUCAGUUUUCUUAUUUAGAGCAGCCUGAACAAUUCCUAAUCAUCUUAUAGAUUUAUUUAUAAGGCAGAUAUAACAAUCUAAGGCAAGAUAGUGUGUAAAAUAUUUUAAAGUUAACUCUGUAAAAUGGAUUCGAACAUUGAACUUAUAAGUCAAUGUGAUUAUUAAAAAAGGACUGAAAUUGGACUUACCUUGUACUACAGCUUACUGACUGCUACCAACCCAGCCAUCCUACUGAAUUAGCUAAGGAAUGCAUCGAAUCAUCUCUUGAAGAAAUUAUGUCAGAGCAUUUAUUACCUUAACUACUUUAAUUAUCAUUUUGUACAAGAGAGGGCACUCUAACGCUUUAUUUUCUUCUUAGCAUGCAAUGAAAUGGGGAAGCCCAGACAGAUUCCCCAUAUCAAGAUCUCAGUCUGAGAUCAAGACUGAGGUCGUGAAGGCAACUCCACACACUACAAGCUUGCACACACAGCUGCUUUUUCAGAGUCACCUGAAGGGGAAACAGUGACCAGCAAUGAAAUACAAAGUAAUUUUCAUCUCUCGAGAGGAUUAAUUUGAAGAAAAAAAUCUAAACAAGGUGAAUUAGUACCAAGCAAACAUAGGCUCAUCCUAAAAAUAGAUUUGGAUUGGAAAUAUGCUUUUCACCCUAAUUGUGUCCAAGGAGAAAAAGCUAAAAUGACUGCAUUUAAAAAGCAAAUAAGAUAUAACAACAACGAAUAUCUAUUACCUGUAAGAUCUUAUAGUUUUUAAAACCAUUACUUGUAUCAUUCUUUUAUGGAAAACAUACAGAGAUAUUAACAUGCUCAUGGUUCAAGAGAAAGGGAUAAAAGCUUAUUAACUCUCCCAAAAAGCUUAGUCUCCACAGCUGCUUCCACCCCACGGAGUUCCCUAAAGUAUAAAACGGGAUUAUGCGAACAUCUUGCAUUUUGGCAACAACCCCUUCGGAUUCGGCUCCCGUGUGCGAUGCCGGAGGCCCCCGGUCCUGCUCUUGACCCCCGUGCACUUGCCUGUGUCUGAGGCGGGAAGGACGGGGCUGUGCCCUGACACCUGGGGCGAGGGGCUGCCGCAGGUUCUGACCGAAGGGCUCUGGGCUUGAAUUUCAAAAGUCUUUCAUGAGACCAGAGGGAGGCUUGCAAGGGUGCUGGAGUGAAUGUUGCCAAAAACAUUUCCAGCACAUGGGCCCUUUCACUACAAAUCCCAUUUUAUAAAUACAGUUAGUCCACGUCCGACUCAGUAAGAAAUGAUCAGAAACGCUUUUCAGCUAUUCAGUCCUCUGCUCUAGUGUUGAGAAGUUUGGUCUCUUAAGUUAAAACCCUGAUGCACAUCUGUUUCCAAUGUACUCUUGAUUAUUCUUUGUGAACAAAACCAAAGAUGCUGUUUCUAUUUUGGAAAAUGUUAAAGAAAACCUACGAUAGUGAUGAUCUCCAUUCUGAGGGAGGCACGUGGUGCUCCCAGACCCCGUGUGAGCACAGCUGCUCCCCGAUGCAGUCCGCUUUAAAUAGGAGCCAGUGACAGGCCUGUCAACAGUCUGCAGCGCCGGCUGAGUCCCUCCGACAGCAAUGCAAACUUCGGGUUGCAUCGGGGAGUGUGGUGGGAACAGAACACACGUGUGCGGUGGUCAGAUGGGGCUUCUGAAUUACAGAUAGAGUGGGAGUACUGAAACUGCCCCCAGACGACUUGGGAAAAUGUUCAAGAUACGAUAAAUGAUGGUGAAGCGUGCAUACACACGCACACACGCACACACUAUAUACGCACGGUGAAAUGAGCUCAAAAACAAUACAUUUAUAAUCACAAGUGAUUAAAACUCAUAAUAUCAAAAGCUAAUUUUAGAAUACCAAAAAGAUUGCAUGUUCCAUCAAACAUGUGUUUUGAACCUAAGCCAGAAGCUGCCAAAAUAUUUAUAAACAUUCCCCUUUUCCCCUCCAGGUUCAAACUCAGUAACCGCAGGCCAAGCUCAGUUCUCCCCAGACCAUCACCCCGGCUCUGUGUCUGACAUCUUCAGGAAUAGUUGUCACAAAUUGCAGAAGGUGACCGUCAAUGGUGACAAGUUUAAGACCAAGGCUACUGUCACAUCAAUUCUUUUCCUUAACAGACAUCUGAGAUCAAGACUGAGGUCGUGAAGGCAACUCCACACACUACAAGCUUGCACACACAGCUGCUUUUUCAGAGUCACCUGAAGGGGAAACAGUGACCAGCACCUAAACCCCUGGCCCUUGACGGCUCCGACCAUCACCGUGAGCACAGGGAUGUGGAACACAUCCUCAAGCCCAGACAGAUUCCCCAUAUCCGGAUCCUUCCCCUCCUACCAUGUGGCUUUCCUUUACGGUGUCCAAACAAAGCUAGGGGUGAGGAGAAGGGCUUCAGCAGAAGCAGUGGCAAUGGUCACUGUAAGAGGAUCGGAUCGCAGGAAGUAGAAGCAAGCAGACCCUUGGUGACCACUGGUUCGACCUCACUGCACAGGUGUGGGAAGAAGGGACAGAGACGAGCCCCACACAGUUUCUCACCCUCAGUGCUGAUGACCUUUUGGGCUGGUAGUUUUUUGGGGGGCAGUGGGAGCUGUCCUGUGCCCUGCAGGGUGUGGAGCAGCAUCCCUGGCCUCCACCCCCCACAUGUCAGAAGUAGCCCUUCCCCAAUUUGUGACAACUGAACAUGUCUCCAGGCUGGCGCUGAGGACAAGUGCUGGGGAGUGGCUGGUGCACCAUCUGCUUUACUCCACAUGGACCAGCCUAGGGGCUGCCUGGACGGUGCCAGGAUGCAGACAGGACAGGCCCAGGGGUCCCUGUAGGCCAGUGCUCUCCCCUGUGAACUCCUGCCCCCUGCUCUACUGAGCCCAGUUCCUUAGGACCCUCCCAUCUGAGAAAACACAGCUGCUCGGUGCUCCCUUCCCUGCAGAGCAUGGAAACUGUGCAGCACACUUCCACGUACAUUUUUGAGGUUCCCACAGGCAUCCUUGUGAGGAGGUGGGACAGUGACACCACCCCCUUGCAUACAGCUGAGGGGAUGGAGGCUCCUGUGCACGCCUAUGGCCUUUCUCCUGUGGACCCCAUUCCACAUUCUGCUCCUCAAGAGCCCUCCAACAUCAGAUUACUAUGAGCCACUGACAUUUCACAACCACUGAUGUUGGUGAUGAUGUCACCAUCCUCCCCAUUACCUGAAUCCGAACCAGCCCUACCUGAAGCCUCUGUCCUUCCACAUCCAACCACCUGUGGGAAAAGAGUCAUCGUAGCAUUACGGAGUCUAACUGCGAUCCCACUAAGGCGUUUGCCUCCUUUCUGGUCCCGGUUCCGCUGUGCUAGCUCAAGCGCUGCUUGUCUUUGCCUCUUACACGGGCCUCCCAUCUCUGACCCUCCAACGCUCCACACUCCAGUCAGGACCCUCUGACUGCAAACAACCCAGACAUGUCCCUCUGGGCUUAAAAGUCAUCAGCCUCUGGGGCAUCCAGGGCAAAGCCCAGCUCCACAACAUAAACUCCAGGAUCUCCCCAGUCUGACCCAAUCUUCUGGACAUCCUCUCAGCGUACUCUGCCCUCUUGACAAACAGCUGGCCCAGGACUCACAGGUCACUGAUGGGGAAAGACCUGCCCACAUGGUCCCCUCCUGCAAAAACAUGUUAUUCCCACCUGAGUUUUCAUAUUGCCAUCCUACCCUUCAAAGCCCAUUUCACGUGCCAUCUCUGACACAAAGUUGGCCCCAUUCUCCUGAGUCAGAACUGGCAACCCCACGCCUGUGCUCUCUGCACACCGUCACUGUGUUAAGUCGGCACAGCCCUCAUCCUGUGUGUAUGCAGGUCUACUCUCCCGCGAGUCCCUUAAGGACUGUGGCUUUCUCCCUCCCUCCCUUUUCCCAGAGCAUCAAGCACAGUCUCUUGCAUACUGUAGGUGCUCAAUAGAUGCUUACCAAUUCCACUUGAAUCACUUAAGUCAGAAUAUAUUUCCCUGUGCUCUGGUUUCAGUGCUCUCCCCCUUCCUGAAUGACUGCCGAACAAGUAACACAGAGAAUGGCGUGAGAUCUAAAUCUCCGUGGGGAAGAUUCAUCUGAUCCUGUUACACACUGCAAGGAUUCUUUCCAUUUCAGGCUCAAUAGAUGGUCACCAGACGGUUGUAGGGAGCUUAUUAUCUGUGAGACUGAAGAUGACUUUCACUGGGUAGCUCGAAUACUUGAAUUCUUGUGCCAAACUCAGUCUUUUCCCUCCUUGAAAUGCCUGCGCUCUGGGCCUCUACAGCACGAAUACCACCUCUUCGCUGAGAUGGUACCAACAGCUGGAGUCGGUCACUGAGGCUCCCGUGAUACAGCACCCGGCUCUUUCAACCUCUCCAAAUGAACCACGAUUUCUAGACCUUUCAUCAUUCAUUCUUAUCUCGUCUCAGCCACCCCGUCUCCAUGAAUAUCCCCGACAUCCUCCAGUUGGCCAAGACUUUCUCCACAAGGGGCCACACUGAACAUAAUGCUUCAGCCAAGCCGGAGUAAGGUCUUCACAAAGGAAAUCAGUAUCUUCCAGUUUAGUCCUCUGAACUCGAAUUAUGGCCAAAUAAGACUGAAUUCAUUUUAUUAGCUACAAAUCGCACUGCUGGCAUAUACUUAACAAUUAAACACAUCUUUCAAACCAUUUAAAAAUAGUGUUAUGCCAGACCCUCCACAGGCUUAUAUGCAUGGACAGUAUUAUAAACAGACAGAAUAACAAUAUUAAGCAAAAUGAAGCAGCGAACAAAGCCGUAAAUGCAGUGUUGCAGGUUUCCCUGUUACAUUUUGCUAUCAAUUUUUUGAAUCCUAAGUUAACGUAUUCAACAGUUUCACUGCUGCACAAGGAUUUUUAUCAUCUCAGAAUUCCUUAGGUGUGGAAACUGUAUCUCCAGCCCCAUUCUGACCCCAGCAGGGACCCCAACAAAGACCCCUAGCGUGUCUCCAUGCCCUCCCCAUGCACACAGGGACUGCCGGGUGGAAGACCGUCUCGGGUGGGAAGUGGUUUCCUCCGGUUUGUCUUGCAGAAACUCUCUAAUUGGGUCAGCUAGUCUGAUGACAUGAAUUAAGACCAUCCAGGCUCCACAAACACAAUAAUUCGAUUUAGGACUAACAGGAACCAGCUCUCUAAGCAUAAUACAAUUUUAGUUCUCAAGUGAAUACAGACAGCAGAGAACAACUGGAUUACCGGAGUCCCGAGGAAGCAGCCAGGGUGCUUGGAACCUGGUUUUGGAGGAAGAUACAGAGACCAGCCUUGUUCAGAAUGUGCUAAAUCUAAAAACACGAUGCAGUGAGCUCAGUAAGGCUUUCCAGGGGGAAUGUGAAAAAUUUAGCAAACUACCAGGCCUGUGUUCACAGGAGAAAUAUUACAGGCAGAAUCUUGACUAGGAAAUGUUAACAUCAAGUACUUUUUCUAUCUUUGCGGAUGAAGAAUAACAUAUUUUAAAAAAAGAUGUCCACUGAAACUGGCUAAAAAUUCUUAAUAUUAGUGGAGAUAUUCACAUGAUUGUUAAGUGUUCAACAUGACUACAUAUUUUGAGAGUGCCUUCAGCUCAUAAUUUUUCCACUCUACUCCAUCAUCUUUGGUGGUUGAGAACUAAGGGUCAAGUACAACACAAAUUAAUUAGAAGCACAAAAUUAUGCAAUUUCAUUUCUGAGCUUCAAAAAACACAAAUUAAUGCCAGCAUGUUCACAAAUAAAUGCACUUCCACAAUGAGCUGCCCUUUGGGUCUCCAACCUUUUUUUGGAACCCUCAAAACGCUUUAAGCUCACAAGACAAUCAUGCGUAAGUAAGUCCUAAAAAGUGAUCUUCUCUUCUUCCAUAUCCACAUUUUAAAAUAACACUUAUUUCCCAAAGCACGUUUACCCGUGGAAAUAUCUCAAAGCAAUCUUAUUUGAAACUGAAAGGUGUCAGAGUUCCUAUGUCGUUAGGGAACAAAAAUAUGAAACCAUAAGCUUUUGCCUCGAAGCCCCCAUGGGAACGAAGCUCUCACUUUCAUGAGGCAGAAAGAGCCGUGGUCAUCACCUAGGUCUGCCUGUGGCUUCAGAUCACCAUGUGAGCUCGAGGAAACCGCAGCCUACGUCUCCGUAGCCUUGACUGGGAUCUAAGAACAUGCCACAGUGACAGUACUAAAGGAUU
This is a non-coding RNA of Manis javanica (Malayan pangolin), 7138 nucleotides long. The record is from RefSeq and is a predicted model, not a curated record. NCBI's taxonomy places the organism in Eukaryota, Metazoa, Chordata, Mammalia, Pholidota, Manidae.